Molecule: ribosomal RNA, 253 nt
Filed under: uncultured bacterium
Lineage: Bacteria
Description: partial 16S ribosomal RNA
Rfam family: Bacterial small subunit ribosomal RNA
Source: RNAcentral
UACGUAGGGUGCAAGCGUUGUCCGGAAUUAUUGGGCGUAAAGAGCUCGUAGGCGGUCUGUCGCGUCGGCUGUGCAAACUCGGGGCUCAACUCCGAGCUUGCAGUCGAUACGGGCAGGCUAGAGUUCGGCAGGGGAGACUGGAAUUCCUGGUGUAGCGGUGAAAUGCGCAGAUAUCAGGAAGAACACCCGUGGCGAAGGCGGCUCUCUGGGACGGUACUGACGCUGAGACGCGAAAGCGUGGGGAGCGAACAGG